GAUGAACGCUGACAGAAUGCUUAACACAUGCAAGUCUUUGGCGAAGCUGUGCUUGCACAGCCUAGCCAAGGCGGACGGGUGAGUAACGCGUAAGGAACUUGCCCUGCAGUCAGGGAUAACAGACGGAAACGACUGAUAAGACCUGGUAAAGUCAGGCGGACUCAUGUCCAGCCUGAUGAAAAGUGAUGCUGCAGGAGAGCCUUGCGUCCUAUUAGCUUGUUGGUGGGGUAACGGCCCACCAAGGCGAUGAUAGGUAGCCGGCCUGAGAGGGUGGACGGCCACAAGGGGACUGAGAUACGGCCCUUACGCCUACGGGAGGCAGCAGUGGGGAAUAUUGGAAAAUGGGGGCAACCCUGAUCCAGCAAUUCUGUGUGCACGAUGAAGGUUUUCGGAGUGUAAAGUGCUUUCAGCAGGGAAGAAAAAAAUGACGGUACCUGCAGAAGAAGCGACGGCUAAAUACGUG
This 463-nucleotide ribosomal RNA is filed under the name uncultured bacterium. Its description in RNAcentral is "partial 16S ribosomal RNA". It matches the Rfam family "Bacterial small subunit ribosomal RNA", at positions 28 to 507 of the family's 1533-position model. The record is from RNAcentral.